Molecule: ribosomal RNA, 524 nt
Filed under: uncultured bacterium
Lineage: Bacteria
Description: bacterial SSU rRNA
Rfam family: Bacterial small subunit ribosomal RNA
Source: RNAcentral
UAGGGAAUAUUGGACAAUGGGCGAAAGCCUGAUCCAGCAAUGCCGCGUGAGUGAUGAAGGCCUUAGGGUUGCAAAGCUCCUUUACCCGGGAUGAUAAUGACAGUACCGGGAGAAUAAGCUCCGGCUAACUCCGUGCCAGCAGCCGCGGUAAUACGGAGGGAGCUAGCGUUGUUCGGAAUUACUGGGCGUAAAGCGCACGUAGGCGGCUAUUCAAGUCAGAGGUGAAAGCCCGGGGCUCAACCCCGGAACUGCCUUUGAAACUAGAUAGCUUGAAUCCAGGAGAGGUGAGUGGAAUUCCGAGUGUAGAGGUGAAAUUCGUAGAUAUUCGGAAGAACACCAGUGGCGAAGGCGGCUCACUGGACUGGUAUUGACGCUGAGGUGCGAGAGCGUGGGGAGCAAACAGGAUUAGAUACCCUGGUAGUCCACGCCGUAAACGAUGAUAACUAGCUGUCAGGGCACAUGGUGUUUUGGUGGCGCAGCUAACGCAUUAAGUUAUCCGCCUGGGGAGUACGGUCGCAAGAUUA